GACGAACGCUGGCGGCGUGCUUAACACAUGCAAGUCGAACGGAAAGGCCCCCUUGUGGGGUACUCGAGUGCGAACGGGUGAGUAACACGUGAGUAACCUACCCUUGACUUUGGGAUAACUUCAGGAAACUGGGGCUAAUACCGGAUAGGAGCUCCUGCUGCAUGGUGGGGGUUGGAAAGUUUCGGCGGUUGGGGAUGGACUCGCGGCUUAUCAGCUUGUUGGUGGGGUAGUGGCUCACCAAGGCUUUGACGGGUAGCCGGCCUGAGAGGGUGACCGGCCACAUUGGGACUGAGAUACGGCCCAGACUCCUACGGGAGGCAGCAGUGGGGAAUAUUGCACAAUGGGCGGAAGCCUGAUGCAGCAACGCCGCGUGCGGGAUGACGGCCUUCGGGUUGUAAACCGCUUUCGCCUGUGACGAAGCGUGAGUGACGGUAAUGGGUAAAGAAGCACCGGCUAACUACGUG
This 464-nucleotide ribosomal RNA is filed under the name uncultured bacterium. RNAcentral describes it as "partial 16S ribosomal RNA". It matches the Rfam family "Bacterial small subunit ribosomal RNA", at positions 28 to 507 of the family's 1533-position model. The record is from RNAcentral.